This 72-nucleotide microRNA precursor is filed under the name Mus pahari (shrew mouse). RNAcentral describes it as "microRNA 6997 (MGP_PahariEiJ_G0007316.1)". The record is from RNAcentral. Lineage: Eukaryota; Metazoa; Chordata; Mammalia; Rodentia; Muridae.
CCAAGUAACAGGCUGGAGAGGUGCAGAGCAAAGUCUCUGGAGGCUCUUCAAACCUUAUCCUCCUGUUUCCAG